AUGAUCUUGUCUGCUUCCACCUACAACACAGACUUUCUGGCAAAGGCUCUGGCCCUGUUGGGAAAACCCGAAGUUUGCCAAAGACUGAGUGGAUGGAGUGUCACUCUUUUUGCCCAUGCUGGAGUGCAAUGGCACAAUCUUGGCUCAUUGCAAGCGCCACCUCCUGGGUUCAAGCAAUUCUCCUGCCUUAGCCUCCCAAGUUGAUGGGAUUACAGGUGACUGCCACGAUGCCUGCCUAAUUUUUGUAUUUUUAGUAGAGAUAGGGUUUUACCACAUUGGCCAAAUGAUCUGAUCUCAGGUGAUCCACCCACCUUGGCCUCCCAAAGUCCUGGUAUUAUACCAUGCCUGGCUUAAAGCUGUUUUUAUUUUGAAAGAUCACUAAAGUUAUAUAAACUAAAAGGCAUUACAGUUUUUAUUUUGCUUUCAAAAUAUUUAGGUGCUUAUUUUUGCUUAAGCCAAUUAAUCAGAGCUCUUUUAUAUGAACGUUACACACAAGGCAUAUAUAAUUAGACAGACAGAACAAGAUUACUAUAGCAGUUGUAAGAUUUUUUAUUUACCAGUUUUUAAGUUUCUUAAUUGGUUACCAGCUUUAUGGUGGAGUCCUUGGAAGAACAGGG
RNAcentral lists this long non-coding RNA (617 nucleotides) under Callithrix jacchus (white-tufted-ear marmoset). Its description in RNAcentral is "lncRNA (ENSCJAG00000078820.1)". The record is from RNAcentral. Lineage: Eukaryota; Metazoa; Chordata; Mammalia; Primates; Cebidae.